This 460-nucleotide ribosomal RNA is filed under the name uncultured bacterium. RNAcentral's name for it is "partial 16S ribosomal RNA". It matches the Rfam family "Bacterial small subunit ribosomal RNA", at positions 338 to 795 of the family's 1533-position model. The record is from RNAcentral.
CCUACGGGAGGCAGCAGUGAGGAAUAUUGCACAAUGGACGAGAGUCUGAUCCAGCCAAGUAGCGUGAAGGAUGACGGCCCUAUGGUCUGUAAAUUUUUUUUAUAUGGGAAUAAAAUGUUCCACGUGUGGGAUUUUAUAUGUCCCAUAUGAAUAAGGAUGGGCUAACUCCGUUCCAUCAGCCGCGGUAAUACGGAGGAUUCGAGCGUUAUCCGGAUUUAGUGGGUUUAAAGGGAGAGUAGGUGUAUUGGUAAGUCAGUUGUGAAAGUUUGGGGCUCAACCGUAAGAUUGCAGUUGAAACUGGCAGUCUUGAGUACAGUAGAGGAGGGCGGAAUUCGUGGUGUAGCGGUGAAAUGCUUAGAUAUCACGAAGAACUCCGAUUGCGAAGGCAGUUCACUGGACUGAAACUGACACUGAGGCUCGAAAGUGUGGGUAUCAAACAGGAUUAGAUACCCUUGUAGUC